GUGGAUGUCGCGGAGGCGGUUGCGGCUGGCCUCGUCGAGGGGGGCCGCCUUCACCUCCUCGAGGAGCUGGCGGAUCAUCCCGCCGAUCCGCA
This 92-nucleotide transfer RNA is filed under the name uncultured Nocardioides sp. RNAcentral's name for it is "tRNA-Ser". The record is from RNAcentral. Lineage: Bacteria; Bacillati; Actinomycetota; Actinomycetes; Propionibacteriales; Nocardioidaceae.